GCUGGAAUGGCCGAGUCGUUAAGGCGAUAGAUUUGAAUUAUCAUAUCUAUUACUCAUUGAGUGCGUAGGUUCAAAUCCUGCUUCCAGCG
This 89-nucleotide transfer RNA is filed under the name Collybiopsis luxurians FD-317 M1. Its description in RNAcentral is "Gymnopus luxurians FD-317 M1 tRNA". It matches the Rfam family "tRNA". From Rfam's summary of the family: Transfer RNA (tRNA) molecules are approximately 80 nucleotides in length. Their secondary structure includes four short double-helical elements and three loops (D, anti-codon, and T loops). Lineage: Eukaryota; Fungi; Basidiomycota; Agaricomycetes; Agaricales; Omphalotaceae. The record is from Rfam by way of RNAcentral.